This 253-nucleotide ribosomal RNA is filed under the name uncultured bacterium. RNAcentral's name for it is "partial 16S ribosomal RNA". It matches the Rfam family "Bacterial small subunit ribosomal RNA", at positions 524 to 776 of the family's 1533-position model. The record is from RNAcentral.
UACGUAGGUGGCAAGCGUUAUCCGGAUUUAUUGGGCGUAAAGGGAACGCAGGCGGUCUUUUAAGUCUGAUGUGAAAGCCUUCGGCUUAACCGGAGCAGUGCAUUGGAAACUGGGAGACUUGAGUGCAGGAGAGGUAAGUGGAAUUCCUAGUGUAGCGGUGAAAUGCGUAGAUAUUAGGAGGAACACCAGUGGCGAAGGCGGCUUACUGGACUGUAACUGACGUUGAGGCUCGAAAGCGUGGGGAGCAAACAGG